CAUAUCAAGGAAGGAAGAGAGGAGGGAGGGGGAGAAAGGAAGACCUACCUUUUAGGUGACUCUGAUGCAUGGGUCCAUGGUCUGGCAUUUAUUUGAUGCCACUGCUAUACAAUGGCUUGCCAAUAAUGCAAGGUUGUGUUUGGUUAUCUAGCGACAUGAGAGUUUGGCAGAUGGAUAGGUAAUGAGCAUAGGUUCUAGAAAUCUUUUAUGUCAUUGGUUCUGAUAUGCUAAUUAAUAAGGUAAUCCGUAGCCUCUUUCCUUCGUAUAAAGACAGCUUGACUCCCUCACCUCUUACCUUAUUAUUAGCUCAAGAGUAAAGUCUGUGCAGUCAGUUUCAAGCUUGCCUGGUGGGCCAGGCUCACUUUGAGAAAGAUAAAAUGCUUUAGUUUUGUGGCCCUGGGAGCACAGUGACCUGGCGUGCAGUCUCUGCAGGAUGUGGGGCCAUGUGGACCGAUGGAGGGUUGUUUGGUGCCCUCUAGUGGUUGGAACUGUUCAACGACUCCUAAGACGGGGGCUCACCCCCCUUGAGCAGCUGGCUUUAAUGAAAAGAAACAGGAUUCGGCCUUGAACUUGCUGUUGGGAGACCCGCGGUGUCUUGCCAGAGCACCUCCCCUCUCCGGUCUCAGUAUUUUAAAGCAUAAAUUGGAAGAGGUGGACAAAGCUGUCCGUGAGCAGGGAGCCAGCCCGUCCAGAGGGCUGCCGGGGAGACCAGUCACGGAUGCAGUCUAGGCAAGAAGGCACAUGCGACAGCCACUCGAGUCUGUCCCCACUGGCGUGGGAGCUCUCCGAGACCAGGACCUUGGCUUAUUAUUUAUCUUUGUGUCCCUAACAUCUGGCACAGAGAAAGUAUUCGAUAAACGUGUAUUGAAAGGAGGGAGGGAGAAGGAAGAAAGGUAGUUUGGCGGAGGCUUAUGUUUGCGCAGAAGUGGGCGGGUCAAGAUGAAGUCCUGUGAAGUGGAGCCGAGCACGGUAUCGCUCCACGUCAGAAACCUGAUGCAGAGGCGACCGAAGACACCGUGGGUCUCAUGCUGCCCCCUGAGGAGGAGACACCUGGAUUCUGACUCCAGAGGCCUGGAACUCUUUGACUCCCUGUAGGGCGGCGCAGGGGUCCAGAAACCUUUCUCCUGACCACCAGAUGUAUUCCUCCGCCUGGAUGUCCUUAGGCAGAUCAGUCACACUCAUCUCUUCAGGACUGGACCCACCGUCUUCCUCAACAUGCGUAAAUAUGCUCCAGUGUUCCCAUGCUGGAAUUGCAACACUGCAUGCAGCUGCCCAAACGGCAGUAAGAGCCUUGGUGCAGGGGCUUUCUUUUCCCUGCUUCCCAAGCACUGUUGAUUAUUUUUCUUAAAUAUAUUCACCCCUGCCCUCUAACGAACCCCCAACCCCCAGUCCUACUCCAAUAAGGCAAUGGCCUUAUUUCAAGCCUUCCUACCUUCUUUCUCUCUCCCUCUACACCAGCCUCCAAAACAGGUCCAGAAAGAUCUUUCUGUCCGCAAAUCAGAUAAUGUUGCUUUCAUCACCAGAAUUUGCCACUGGCUCCCCACUGGCUCUAGGACAUAGCCUUAAGUCCUUCCACGGUGCCCAGGGCCUUCCUAGAGGUCCCUGCUGGGCUGCUCUUAAUGUCUCUAGCUGUGCUCCAGCAACACUGACCUGGUCAUCACGCUCUCUGCUGAGGACAUCCCUCCUCUCUCUGUCCCUCUAGCAAAUGCUUUCUCUUCCAUAAAGACUCAGCUCAGAUGUGCCCUCUGAGAGGCCCCGAGGAGAUGCUUGGCAUGCCUCUCCCACUGCCCUUCAGUCAUACCUUCAAUAUAGUGAUUAUCUUGUGGUGUUCAUUGUUUGUUUGCAAGUCUAACAGUAAACUCCUUCAGAGCAGAUUACCACCUCUGUUCCCAUUUAUAUCCCAAGUGUCUGAUGCAGUGCCUGGUACCUAGCUAAUGCUCAGGAGAUAUUGGCUGGGAUUAUCUUGAUCCUCAAAACCCUUGGUUGCUGUUCCCUUUUUAUCUGUUGCAGAUACAGCUUCCAUGUCAGGGUCGCAGAGGGGCUGUCCCAUGUCACAGAUCUCUGUCUCCCCCUUCUCUUUUCUCUUCUAUCACUUAGGUUUCUUUCCUCCAAUCUCCUCUUUGAGAGAAAACUCUCGUCUCUCAUGCCAUAUCUUGAAUUUUUCUUUGUUCUGUAUCCUCUUGAGACCCAGCCUGUCCUGUGAAAAUGGACUCAGACCCUCUGGCCAGGCCCCAGCUCUUGUGGCAGGUCAGAAGUGGAACCUGGCACCAUCAUUAUGCACAUUUCCUGGCCUGGCUUUGCCAUCCUUGCUGGCUUCAUCUCAGCUAAUGGGCUUUUGUUUGUUGAUGCCAACUCUUGUGCUAUUUCCUUUUCUAGUCUUGGUUUCAAGUUCCUUCUUCAGACAUUUAGUUACCAGGAAGAAAAGGAGGGAGGGACAUAUUUCUGUGAAGAACUAAAUUAUUAUAAAAUCGUGGUGUCCUUCCUGUCAGUGGUGUGGCACCCACAGGAAGGCAGAUGAGGUGUUCCUCUGGCUCAUUCCUGCUUCCACCCUCACACCCUGACCUUCUCUUGAGAGGUCAGUUUCCUCCUACAUGCCCUCCUGCCCAAGUUUUCACCAGCCUCUUGCUUUUUACCUCCCUCAGUUGGUGGCAAAUUUUCCAGUCCCCAAAUUGGAAAGCUUGACAAAGGCGAUUUUCUUAUUUGUGAGUUUAUUUGCUUGAUAAGCCUUAGGAAACCUUACAGCUGUAUUGCAUUUGAGUACCUCUGUACCAAUUUUAUUGAAAAAGAAUAAAAUUACAUUAAUUGGAAUUUUUUUCUAGAAAGUAUGAUUGUGAGAUUGCCGAGGCAAGGCAAGCUAUUGCAGAAAAGUAAGAAGACUAGAAAAGGGAGGAAUGACAUACUCUAUCUUAGCUAGGUUUUCAGGAAGAGAUUUUACAAAGCUUGAUUCAACCAAAACUACUUUUGUAUUAGUCAAGCAUGUUGGUAUGUACAAUUCAUUAUUUAAAGAUAUUUUUCAAAUAAAUUAGAAAAAGAAAAGUGACAAGGGACAUGAGAGAGAAUUGCCUAAAUUGACUGUCAUUAACCAUAAAUAUCUGGAAAAUGAGGGCAGAAGCAGUGUUAUGGGUUGACUCAUGUGCUCCAAAAGGAUGUGUUGAAAUCCUAACCCCCAGUCCUAACGUUAUUUGGAAAUAGAGUCAUUGCAAGUGUAAUUAGUUAAGGUGAGGUCAUACAGGUGGGCCCUUAAUCCAGUGUGACUGUUGUCCUUGUAAGAAAGUGAUGUGAAGACACAGAGAGGAUGACAUGUGACAGCGUGUUGGAGGCGGAGAUUGGAGCCAUGCAGCUGCAAGCCAGCAACACCAAGACCUGCUAGCAACACCAGAAGCUGAGAGAAGGGCAUGGAACAGAGGCAGCAUGGUCCUGCUGACCCCUUGAUUCUGGACUUCUGCCCUCCAGAACUAGGAGAGAAUAAAUUUCUGUUGUCCUACCCUA
Equus caballus (horse) is the source of this 3489-nucleotide long non-coding RNA. RefSeq lists it as uncharacterized. NCBI's taxonomy places the organism in Eukaryota, Metazoa, Chordata, Mammalia, Perissodactyla, Equidae. The record is from RefSeq and is a predicted model, not a curated record.